This 253-nucleotide ribosomal RNA is filed under the name uncultured bacterium. Its description in RNAcentral is "partial 16S ribosomal RNA". It matches the Rfam family "Bacterial small subunit ribosomal RNA", at positions 524 to 776 of the family's 1533-position model. The record is from RNAcentral.
UACGAAGGGGGCUAGCGUUGUUCGGAAUUACUGGGCGUAAAGCGCGUGUAGGCGGGUCUUUAAGUCAGGGGUGAAAUGCCAAGGCUCAACCUUGGAACUGCCUUUGAUACUGGAGACCUUGAGUCCGGGAGAGGUGAGUGGAAUUGCGAGUGUAGAGGUGAAAUUCGUAGAUAUUCGCAAGAACACCGGUGGCGAAGGCGGCUCUCUGGACCGAGACUGACGCUGAGGCGCGAAAGCGUGGGGAGCAAACAGG